Molecule: long non-coding RNA, 796 nt
Organism: Poecilia latipinna (sailfin molly)
Lineage: Eukaryota; Metazoa; Chordata; Actinopteri; Cyprinodontiformes; Poeciliidae
Exons: 3
Source: RefSeq, a predicted model, not a curated record
AAAAACUAACAUAGCAUAAAUUGUCUUAAAACUAUUUGUUUGCCUGUAUGAAGCGUGUACACAUUUACAGCUUUGUUUCUGCUAGCUUGCAGGAAUUGUAACUUACAUAAAUGGUUGAAGACAACUUAUUGGCCUUCAUGAGACUCAGAUAAAUGAGAGGAUCACACCUGUCGACAACAAACAAACUACUGACUUUUCAGUCAGAAAUGAUCACACCGCCUGGUUGAAGUCUCCAUAUGCAAGUCAACAAAGCAGAGAGGAAACACCUGAUUGACAACAUGUGAGUCUCAAUCUCAACCUGUGACUGGGAAGACCAUAACCAUGACGCACACCAUCCUGAACAAAGUCUGAACUCAGUGACUUGUUACUCUCAACCCAGAACAAGAAUCCUUCUAUCACCGAUUUUUCUUCUACAAUAGGUUAUCUCUUAUAUGGAUGCAUGCUUUUUUUUUUUGUUUUGUUUGUUUGUUUUGUUUUCCAGAUCUCAGUAAUACCGUGAGGAAACUGGACAGAAAACAGAAUCUGUUCUUUUUUUAACUGAAUUCUUAAAUAGCAAUUGUUUCUUUAAGUUGAUUACUCGUAAUCUGUAUUUUUAUUUAAUUUGUAUUUAUUUUCUUUAUAACUUUCUGUAUAGAAAUGCUGACAAGUUACACUUCCUUGUGUGUUGUACUGUAAUUUUUAUGGUAACAUUCUGUUAAGAACAGCGACCGGUAAUUUACCAUAAAGUUUUUUUGUUUGUUUUUUUUUUACAAUAAAAUGUCAAUAUAUCAUACAGUCUGGCCGUGUUUUUCACUUA